RNAcentral lists this long non-coding RNA (747 nucleotides) under Fukomys damarensis (Damara mole-rat). Its description in RNAcentral is "lncRNA (ENSFDAG00000021773.1)". The record is from RNAcentral. Lineage: Eukaryota; Metazoa; Chordata; Mammalia; Rodentia; Bathyergidae.
CGAGCCCUGGGACACACAAGGAGGGGGUGCCAUGGGCACCUGCCCUGACGCUGCCCCAGACCAAGGAAGGCCAGAGAUGGCCAGGAGCCACCAGCAGUCGGGAUGGCCCGGCAGAGCUCCCAACAGCCUCGGAAGAAGUCUGCCCACUCCUCGGUCUUAGACUUCUGGCCUCCAGAAGUGUGGGACAAUGCACUUGUUACUCAUGCCCACAGCCUGUGGACCGGGUCGGGGCAGUCCUGGGAAGUGAACGAACUGAGCUACCAAGAGUGCACAUUUGCUGAAAGCAUUUGCAAACCGAAUGCCUCCCCCUCUCAGAAGCAAGAGCUGGCAGAGCUUCUCAGCAGUGAAGCAACCACCUGGGCCACACUGCAGCUCCUACACUGGAAAGACGGCCCAGGUCUGCAGCAGCACCUCACACCUACUUAGACCCAGCCUGCCACUUGGGUCCUAGCAGAUGCACAGCAGAGAUGCACAGGAGGGAAUGCAGGAGCUCAGACACGAGCUCAAGGCUCUCUGUCCCUAACGUGACCACCCUAACCCGCGUGCUUCUACUGUCUGAGCAACGACUGCACAACCACAUCUCUGCAAGGUACCUGUCUCUGUUUUUAAAAAUGGGGAAAGCAAAGUUCAGAGAAGAAGUUACAAAACUAUACCGAAAAAACAUGGCCAGUAAGCAACUGAGUCAGAAUUUUUAAGAAGAGACAGAUUGGCUCUUUAGUUAUUUUUUAACCAAAUGACUCCCAUUUC